This is an RNA transcript of Raphanus sativus (radish), 2043 nucleotides long. RefSeq lists it as uncharacterized. Lineage: Eukaryota; Viridiplantae; Streptophyta; Magnoliopsida; Brassicales; Brassicaceae. The transcript has 3 exons. The record is from RefSeq and is a predicted model, not a curated record.
UCGGACCUCUCCGCUUCGUCUUCCUCCAAAGCGACAGAGAAAACCGCCGUUACAUCACUUUCUAUUCUCCUUUGCUUCCACAUCUAACUCUCAGAAAGUUCAUGCGCUUAUCAUAACCCAAACGACAUGAAUCUGUUCCCGUUCCAUCAGAUCCACACUUAUAUAUCUCCCUUCUUCUUCGCUUCUCUGCUUCACCCUAUUCACUCAAACCAAAUCUUCAGAGAAAACGAUUACAUCGAGAAUGAGCAAAUCAACCGGAAAAUCCCUUACAUCUCUGUUCUAAAAUGAUGUUCUUCAUAUCCAAAGACAAUCGGGGCUACAAUUUCGGUUAAUCAACUGCUGAAAGCGAGGAACACAACGAAAGAUAGUUUCCUUAUUGGUAUGGAGAUUCUUCUUAUAGAUGAUCAUGUAUAAAAUCAUGUUCUAACCCGAUAAUUUUGUUUAAUUUUUAUAUAUCUUUCAAUUUUUGUGAAACUGCUUCAUGUUCUUUCUAGCUUCAUUCUUCAAUUAAAAGAUGGAUCAAUGUGUGUUUCCUUCUCUUCUUCGGAUUGGAAAUUGGGUUUUCCCACAGCUGUUUAUAAGGAGUAAUUUAGAAAUGUAAGAUGAGAGUUUUUCUUUUCAAUGAUUGUGGUGACUGAGCCAUGCAGUUGCUACAUGUAAAAUCAGUCCUUCUUUACAGUACGAUGCACACCAACAAUUUUAAAUCAUUAACACUCAUUUUCUCUUUUAUCAUGAUUCAACACUGUCUAUGGUCAGAGGAUGCAGCAUGUACAAUGUUUCAAUCUUAAAUAUUUGUUGUAUCAAUCCCUUCACUAUCACGGCUGAUGAUUUGCAUAUUUCUGAACAAGAAUUUUUUUGACAGGUUUAUAAAAUUCUCCAGUAUGCUGAACUUAUUAGAAGGACGUCAAUCUCGGUCCAGUGCAUAUUAUACUUUGCUGAUAACCACCACUAAGUCUAGGUUUUAAGAUUUUUCAUGUGUUGCAUAGAAAGAACAAAGAUACUAAUUUCUUUACUGCUCAGCUUUGUUUUUAUUUUGUGGCAGAGAUUGAACCAAAGUAAGCUAUGGCAUGUCUACAAGUUUCUCAAACCACAAGGCUUUGUGUUGUCCUUACGAUACUGCUCAUCGGUACAGAGAUUCAAAAGCUUACAAGGUCACUGGUUUUCUUUAUUAUGAUAAAAAUUUGGGUAUGCUGUAUAUAUUUUUGUCAUUUUGGCUUCACAGUGGGUAUGCCACAGUAAUCACUUGGGUAGCAUAUGCGCUGUUGAUUCCAUAUGGCUUCUAAAUCCAAAUCGGUAUAGAAAUUUUCUACAAACAAGUUGGAGUAAGGUAGUCUUGGCAUUUGUAGGGCAGAUGCUCUUCAAGUUUCUCUUAUGUAGAAGAAUGUCGCUUGCAUCACAAUUCUUCGUGUAAAGUUUUUAUGGGACAGUUUAUUUUCUACCUUCAUUAACAUGUGAGUGUGUGGCCAUUUUGCUUUGCAGUAUCUUUUGAGAAGAGCUUCACUAAACGCUAAAGAUGCUUUUGCCUUUCUGAAAACGACAAUGAUGGUGACCAACUUUAUGGAGCUCCUUAUUCAUCUGAGAGUGUUCAUACAUAAUAGGUUUCUAUCACAGUGGACUCAUGACAAAAGACACUAAUGAUCUGUGGAUUCAAGCUGACUUUGAUGGAAACAGUCUAAAACAGUUUCAACAUAAAGUUGGGAAUCAUACCCUGUCUGAACAGAGAAACGCAGAGGACGGAGAAGCAAAUGGCAACCAAGAACAAAUGUUUGGUUUCAGUGUCAAGAACACAGCAUUAUUUCCUUUUGAAGUGGAGAAAUGAGUGUAGCUAGAAUCUUACUCUCUCUCAGCCUCUAUGGAACAAAAGUUUAGGACACCAAACCAAAUUUGUUAUAACCAAUGGAUCAAGAAUAAGGCAAUUCGAAAUCAAAAGAAGAGUCCUUCUAAACAGCUGUAGCAACAGUUAUAUUUUAAGAUUCUGGAAUUGUAAAAAAUAUGCUAAUAAUAAUACCAGGUAACAAAAACAAUUAGUGUUCAAAUUAUUCA